RNAcentral lists this long non-coding RNA (3197 nucleotides) under Gallus gallus (chicken). Its description in RNAcentral is "lncRNA (ENSGALG00010002808.1)". Lineage: Eukaryota; Metazoa; Chordata; Aves; Galliformes; Phasianidae. The record is from RNAcentral.
GUAAACAAAGAGCGGAGAGGCGUCGGCGCGUCACGUGGUGGCGGUGUGGUGUGCAUGCGCUGUGUGAAUCUUCGCACCUGUCAGCCGCUGACCUGCUGGGCAUCCCGUCCAUUCUAAGAUUCACAGCUUCUUGAGUGAGUGAUGUGCCUUACCAUGGUUAUUUUGCGCAGCUCCACCAGCCCUCCCUGCUCCUCAUUUACGCAGCGAGAAGGAACCCCUCGCAGGCACCACAAACAGUUGUGGUCGGGAGAGGAAAUCUAGCUCAGCUGUGAUAAUUAGAAUAGCUGUGAUACUUUAAUUGAGUUGCUAAUACCAGUGCAGGGAUGUUGCAUAAAAGCCUGGUGGCUGGCAGCUUCUCCUUUAGCCCUGCUGAUUGGUAGGGCUGUGGAGCACGUGUGUGUGCUGGGUGUCUGCCCCCUUCCUUUCAGCUUUCCCUCCCAAAUACAGCCCCUUCUUGGCUCCAUUGUAAUGCUGUGCAGUUGUGUGUAUGUUCUCUGAGAGCAACUCCAUGCGUUCCUUCUUUUCCUCUCCCUUAUCUUGAGCUCUCAGCCUGCAUGGGCACGGGUGCAAGGUCUGUGCCAGUCCCCUCAGGCAACUAAUCUUAGUAGUGAAUGUAGAUACAAACCUACAUAUGUGAUUUCAGCCUCUGCCUGGUGCUUGUGGCAAGCCUGAUGCAAUGUGUUCUCGGAAAAGUGUGAGGAGGAAGUAAUGGGCUUCCUUGCUCUUCUGCAGUAAGAAUAGCUCAUUCAUUAUUUAUCUUCACCGGAGUUUGGUUCCUGUAUUUUUGUUGAACUUUGCCUUGCUGCAGUGGCAAUCCUUUUUACUUACUGAAUCCUUGUAGCAGCUUCUUGAAGCUUAUCAAAAUGAGGGGACAUCAGGUUCACUGAAUCCAUCGUUUCCUUCAUCUGAGGUUGUACUGAAAUCAUAGAAUCAGAACAUCCUAAAGGUUGGAAGAGGUCCAUAAGGAUCAUCGAGUCCACCUCCUGGCCCACCACAGGACCACCCAAAGACCAGACCAUAUGGCAGACAGCACUGAGAAUGACUGUCCUCAGCCAACUGCUCAGUGCAACCUCUAUGGAGGCCUUCUUUCUUGAGCAUUUUUCUUCGAAAGGCUUUGCGAUAGUAUGAAAAGUUGGAGGCUGAGAUCUUCAGCGUUCGAAUCAAACAGAUGUUAAUGGUUUUUCACUUUCCCGGAAGAUCUGGCUUUUAACACGUUUUGGUUACUGGAACUGUUUUCAAGGAGAACGUCACACCAGGAGCCUCCAGAGUGCUCUGUGUUUGUUACCAAGCUUUUGCAACUGUACUGAUUUGAAGGAUGACGUGGUGUUUGCUCGUGGUCCCAAUUAGAGGCUCUUUAGAGCAAAAUCCAGAGCAAUUUCUGGAUGUCGUUGACCAUGAUAGCUGAUUUUCUAAUCAUGGCUAAGCUGCUCUUCGUUCUGAAGUGAGCAUUGUUGCACCCUGACUGAAGCUGUGUUGCUCUGCAAAGGUGCUACCAGAGGGCAGCCACAGCGAGGCUGGGACAGAGGGCCGAUCAAAUGCUGCUCCUGCACUUCUGUCUCUGUCCCUAAACAGUGCCCCUCUCAAUGUCUUACAGCUACGGAUUUGGUAUCAGCUCAGAUGACUGGAAAUAGCUGCUGUUUUUUCCCAAUGUCCAGAUGUGCUGUUUUUUUUUUUAAACAUCGAAUUGUGCUUUAAAAACGUGGUCAUAUGACAGAGAUUACAGUUGUUAAGUAUUCACGUAUCAAGGAUUUCUAUUUUUGAAGAGGCAAACAACUCCAUUAUAGUUUGCAAUCUAUAUAUAAGAACUUACAGUGAAAAGCACGUACCAGAAAUAACCAAGAUGGGCUGAACCUUUAAGUUCCAAACUAUUUUCCUGAGCAAUGAGAAUAUUUUAUGAAACCUAAAGGAAUCUGCUUCCUGGAAAACCUCCCUCUGAAACAGCCCUGAGCUGCCCUGACGGCCGGGGAAGCAGAACAAGAGUUUGGAUGCUUUGGAGCCCUCCUGUUAGAGGAAAUAGAUUUUUGAUGGGGGAUUGAAAUAGAUUUUUAAUGGGGGAAAAGGCUGCCACAAACAUAAGGCUGAAAGGGGGUAAAAUGGCACGUGUGUCCGUGCACGGAAUUAUGGACAGUUAUUGAAGGGAAGAUGUACCGCAGUUUGGAGCUUUUAGAGUAUUUAAGGCUUAUGUCAUAAGGAUGCCUGAAGCACUACAGUAAUUGAAGUAUUCAAAUCUGCUGAAUGAAUACCAGCUAAACCGUUUUCUUUAGAUAACAUGACUUGAAGCUGCAGAACUGUCAGUGUAUCUCAUAUGCUGCAAUUGUUUGCCUUUUAUUUGUGUGUGAUUCACUACUUUUACUAAUUGUUACAGCUGUAACGCAUCAGUAUCAUUAAUAACUAAUGACAGCAUGAUCUCACUACAUCUCCUGCAACUAACAGGGUCACUUGGCGUGUCAGCUGUGUCACAGCCCCCAUCAGCACUGGGAUGUGGUGCUCCCAGCAGUCCCCAUUCUCCUUCCUGAUGCUGUACGCAUGCCAGGUCUGAGGAUACAGGCUAACAAAUUGGGUUUUAAGCUCCUUUUGAUUGCAGCGUUGCACGCUGCUCCCAGAUCUGCAGGACUGAGCAUGAAAGCAGGUCCGGAAACUGAAUCCUGUUUUUAAAACAGGCUUUUUUUUUCCCACUUGUUUAUCUUCGUAUUGAAUCAGUUCAGCAGUUCAGGUGGUUGUUUGGUCACAGAAACCAUGAGGGUCUGAGGAAUAGGUGGGAAGUGUUCUGGUGGGAGCUGCUUACACCUGCACGGUUGCUGACAGAAAGUUGUGGAAAAGCAAAGAAACUCUGUUACUUGACGAUGAACAGAAGGGAGAGGAGCGUUAAGCACUCUGGCUCUGAUUCAGAUGUUCUUUCUGAGGUUAAAAAAAAAAGAAAAGCCAGCACACUUAACAUUCUAUUUGGUUGUUGCUGAGAUGUCAUUUUACUGUCUCUUCAUCACGCUGUGGUAUAGUAACAAACCUCCCUCACACCUCUGUUGGAACCAAUACCAUCUUUCUUUUCAGACCUUUCUAUCCACUGUUGUAGAAACUGACGCCAGAAGGAGUUUAGACCACAAAAGCAGUGGGAGCAACACGAAGAGAACUGAGUUAAGAAAGGCAUUUAUGCUCUGAAAGCAGCCUUCUUGUCUUUGUGUUAUAAAAGAUCCUUGAAA